CGCGUAGGCGGUCGUUUAAGUCAGGUGUGAAAGCCCCCGGCUCAACUGGGGAGUUGCAUCUGAUACUGGGCGACUAGAGUGCAGGAGAGGAAAGUGGAAUUCCGAGUGUAGCGGUGAAAUGCGUAGAUAUUCGGAGGAACACCAGUGGCGAAGGCGGCUUUCUGGACUGCAACUGACGCUGAGGCGCGAAAGCUGGGGGAGCGAACGGGAUUAGAUACCCCGGUAGUCCCAGCCGUAAACGAUGGAUGCUAGGUGUGGGGGGUAUCGACCCCUUCCGUGCCGCAGUCAACACAAUAAGCAUCCCGCCUGGGGAGUACGGCCGCAAGGUUGAA
This 332-nucleotide ribosomal RNA is filed under the name uncultured bacterium. Its description in RNAcentral is "bacterial SSU rRNA". It matches the Rfam family "Bacterial small subunit ribosomal RNA", at positions 568 to 898 of the family's 1533-position model. The record is from RNAcentral.